AUUGAACGCUGGCGGCAGGCCUAACACAUGCAAGUCGAGCGAGCGGCGGACGGGUGAGUAAUGUCUGGGAAACUGCCUGUUGGAGGGGGAUAACUACUGGAAACGGUAGCUAAUACCGCAUACCAUAAGAUGUGCCCAGAUGGGAUUAGCUGGUAGGUGGGGUAACGGCUCACCUAGGGGACGAUCCCUAGCUGGUCUGAGAGGAUGCACGGCCACCUGGGAAAUGGGACACGGACAAGAGUCCUACGGGAGGCAGCAGUGGGGAAUAUUGCACAAUGGGGGGAAGCAUGAUGCAGCGAUGCCGCGUGUGAGAAGGAGGCGUUCGGGUUGUAAAGCACGUUCAGCGGGGAGGCGUUACCCGCAGAAGAAGCACCGGCUAACUCCGUGCCAGCAGCCGCGGUAAUAC
This 406-nucleotide ribosomal RNA is filed under the name uncultured bacterium. RNAcentral's name for it is "partial 16S ribosomal RNA". It matches the Rfam family "Bacterial small subunit ribosomal RNA", at positions 29 to 526 of the family's 1533-position model. The record is from RNAcentral.